This 379-nucleotide ribosomal RNA is filed under the name uncultured eukaryote. RNAcentral's name for it is "partial 18S ribosomal RNA". It matches the Rfam family "Eukaryotic small subunit ribosomal RNA", at positions 593 to 976 of the family's 1831-position model. The record is from RNAcentral.
AAUAGCGUAUAUUAAAGUUGUUGCGGUUAAAAAGCUCGUAGUUGGAUUUCUGCUGAGAACGACCGGUCCGCCCUUUGGGUGUGUAUCUGGCUCUUUCUUGGCAUCUUCUUGGUGAACGUUGCUGCACUUGACUGUGUGGAGCGCUACCCAGGACUUUUACUUUGAGGAAAUUAGAGUGUUUCAAGCAGGCAUACGCCUUGAAUACAUUAGCAUGGAAUAAUAAGAUAGGACCUCGGUUCUAUUUUGUUGGUUUCUAGAGCUGAGGUAAUGAUUAAUAGGGAUAGUUGGGGGCAUUCGUAUUUAACUGUCAGAGGUGAAAUUCUUGGAUUUGUUAAAGACGAACUACUGCGAAAGCAUUUGCCAAGGAUGUUUUCAUUGA